Molecule: non-coding RNA, 1406 nt
Organism: Peromyscus maniculatus bairdii (prairie deer mouse)
Lineage: Eukaryota; Metazoa; Chordata; Mammalia; Rodentia; Cricetidae
Source: RefSeq, a predicted model, not a curated record
GAAGAAGUCUGGGCCGGCUGCCCAGCUUUAUCCAGUUUCCUGGUUCACUCCCAAGCACGCGAUCCCAAACUUGACCCCACCAACGGAUCCCCCUCCCUCGACCCGGUCUUCCAACACCCUGACCCACGCUGUUCACUGCCGGAGAAACGGGGCUGCUCCGCCUAAUUCCACUGGCCUCGCAGCUGCCCUCCCCCCCUACAGCCCAACACACCCCAGGACCAGCGAGCCACCCCGGCUGUCAGGGCCCGGCCUUGCGGGCUUGGCUGGUGGUAACUCUCUCCCUCUCCGAUUUCUCUCGGAUUUCCUUCGGCCUCUCCCGGGCAGCCCCGGGUGGGUGAGGCAGAGCAAACCUAAGCAAACUGAAGCGGAGAAGUCCUCCACCCCGCCAACCCCUACCCCCCGGUGGCUGAGCUCAGACCCGUGGACUAAGCCCUCCAAGCCUGUUCUCAAAUUCGCAGAAUGAAGGCAGCUGUCUCCUGGGAUGGUAGACAGGGGUUACUGAGGGAGGGCACUACCUGGUGCAUGGUGAGCACUCUGUGUCCCUCAGCGGCGCUCCCUUCACCCCAGGGUUCCCUCUCAUCUCACUGUCGGGGACCUUUACCCAUCCAGCCCAAACCGGGGAAGAAAACCAAAUCUAGUUUUCUACCCUGUGGUCCCUUCCAGAUGGGUUCCCCAGCUGCCUACUAUGGCUCUGCCACCAACAGUGUGUGUGUGUGUGUGUGUGUGUGUGUGUGUGUGUGACAGCCCCCCCCCCCAAGCCUUGGUGAGCUCCUCCGUUAUUCAGUGAGUGAAAAAUGCUUGCCCUCACGUAGGGAAGAGGUGGCAUGAAGAUUCAGUAGACGUGUCUGUAAAGAUGCUUGUCUUAGUUGAAAUAGGGUUUCAUUUAGCCCAGGCUGGCCUCAAACUCAUUAGCUGAGGCUGGCCUUGUAUUUCUGAUCCUCCCGCCUCCUACAUGCUGGGAUUACAGCACAUAAUCCCCACCACACCCAGCUCUAGAUAUUCGGAUGCAUCCAUUGGGACUGACCCAGAGCUGGCUACCACAUUCUGCAGCUAAGGAAAAAGCCACAGGACACUGCAUGCUGGGAGGCAGAGCACAAAGAACUCGGAUUCCUGGUUACUGGACAAAGCCCCUGAGGAGCAGCUGGAGGUGUCCCCACUGCUAGAGGCCCGCUUCCCUCUGUUCUGGUGGAAGCUCUUGGCACCCUGGCAUCCAUAUUCCCAAAGAGUCUGGAAUGUUCUAGUGGAAGCCCUACCUCUCUGCCCAGACCCAGCUCCUCCCCCCAGAGAUGCUCAAGACCACUCGUAUAGAGUAUUUAAACUGCACCCCAGAAAACAGACACAUUUUUUUUGGUUUCUCCCAUCUCCUCUCUAGGGGCCCAGAGAAUCACCCAGGAGUGUUUUACCCA